AUCCUCUUAAAUUUCCAUUUCUUAAAGAUGUGACGAUUUAUCACUGCUCUGAAAUGAAGACGUUUGUCAAACAGGGAAUAUCUGUGAGUCUUGAAAGUGAUGAUGAGGUGAAAGUAAUGUUCAAUUCUAAGGUUUUUUGUCCCAACUUGGAAAAGCUAUAUAUGUCGGGGGCUAACAGCAUAAAUGCUCUAUUCUCUUACCAACUUCCAACCUCCUACUUCAGCAAACUUGAAAUAUUACAAGUACAUUUUUGCGGAAAAUUGAG
This 265-nucleotide unclassified non-coding RNA is filed under the name Hevea brasiliensis (rubber tree). Lineage: Eukaryota; Viridiplantae; Streptophyta; Magnoliopsida; Malpighiales; Euphorbiaceae. The record is from RNAcentral.